This 306-nucleotide small nuclear RNA is filed under the name Octodon degus (degu). RNAcentral describes it as "7SK RNA (ENSODEG00000025744.1)". It matches the Rfam family "7SK RNA". From Rfam's summary of the family: 7SK was discovered as an abundant small nuclear RNA in the mid-70s but a possible function has only recently been suggested. Two independent studies have found that 7SK RNA binds the CDK9/cyclin T complex (known as elongation factor P-TEFb). The record is from Rfam by way of RNAcentral. Lineage: Eukaryota; Metazoa; Chordata; Mammalia; Rodentia; Octodontidae.
GGAUGUGGCUGGGACAUCGGUAGCCCCAUUGAUCUCCGUGGUGAUUCUGCCCAUGUGGCCAGCUGGGUGGGUGCCCCUCUGCUCCAUGUGCAACCCUCCCAAAGCUGCAUACUCGAAGAGGAUGACCCCUCCAGAUAGAGGAGGAAAAUUUCCACCGUGGAGUGCAUAGGGUAGCUACGCUGCUCCCCUGCUAGAACCUUCAAACAAGCUCUCAAUUUGUGUAUUCACUAUUCAUGCUCAUCAGAGUAACUGAUUUUGUAAACCUAUAUUACUAAAACUACAACAAUAUCACCUCUGAUUUUUUUU